Molecule: transfer RNA, 73 nt
Filed under: Apiotrichum gracile
Lineage: Eukaryota; Fungi; Basidiomycota; Tremellomycetes; Trichosporonales; Trichosporonaceae
Description: tRNA-Gly
Rfam family: tRNA
About the family: Transfer RNA (tRNA) molecules are approximately 80 nucleotides in length.
Source: RNAcentral
GUAAGUAUCGUAUAGUUGGUUAUUACCUCCGCCUUCCAAGUGGAUGACUCCAGUUCGAAUCUGGAUGCUUAUA